UACGUAGGGGGCAAGCGUUGUCCGGAUUCAUUGGGCGUAAAGAGCGUGUAGGCGGCCAGGUAGGUCGGUUGUGAAAACUGGAGGCUCAACCUUCAGAGGUCGAUCGAAACCAUCUGGCUAGAGUCCGGGAGAGGAGAGUGGAAUUCCUGGUGUAGCGGUGAAAUGCGCAGAUAUCAGGAAGAACACCCGUGGCGAAAGCGGCUCUCUGGAACGGUACUGACGCUGAGACGCGAAAGCGUGGGGAGCGAACAGG
This 253-nucleotide ribosomal RNA is filed under the name uncultured bacterium. RNAcentral describes it as "partial 16S ribosomal RNA". It matches the Rfam family "Bacterial small subunit ribosomal RNA", at positions 524 to 776 of the family's 1533-position model. The record is from RNAcentral. RNAcentral also lists the same sequence under 1 other name.